AGCAGUGUGACUUAGUGGAUAGAGCCUGGGUCUGGGAGUCAGGAGGACCUGGGUUCUAAUCCCAGCUCUGCCA
This 73-nucleotide transfer RNA is filed under the name Ornithorhynchus anatinus (platypus). It matches the Rfam family "tRNA". Rfam says of the family: Transfer RNA (tRNA) molecules are approximately 80 nucleotides in length. Lineage: Eukaryota; Metazoa; Chordata; Mammalia; Monotremata; Ornithorhynchidae. The record is from Rfam by way of RNAcentral.